Long non-coding RNA from Pipistrellus kuhlii (Kuhl's pipistrelle), 113 nucleotides. RefSeq lists it as uncharacterized. The transcript is spliced from 3 exons. Lineage: Eukaryota; Metazoa; Chordata; Mammalia; Chiroptera; Vespertilionidae. The record is from RefSeq and is a predicted model, not a curated record.
CUCUGUCUUUUGAUUGUAGCAUUUAACCCAUUUACAUUUAAGGUUAUUAUUAAUAGGUACAUAUUUACUGCCAUUUUUGUCUUUAUACCUAUGUUCCUCUCAAUUUUUUUUUU